GUCUACGGCCAUAUCACCCUGAACACACCCUGUGCUGUCCGAUCUCAGAACCUAAGCAGGGUCAAGCUGGGUUAGUAUCUGGAUGAGAGACAUUUGGGGCAAGAAAACCACAGCAGGGAUGCCGUGUGCU
Molecule: ribosomal RNA, 130 nt
Organism: Saimiri boliviensis boliviensis (Bolivian squirrel monkey)
Lineage: Eukaryota; Metazoa; Chordata; Mammalia; Primates; Cebidae
Source: Ensembl